UACGGAGGGGGCUAGCGUUGUUCGGAAUUACUGGGCGUAAAGCGCCCGUAGGCGGUUUGUUAAGUCGGGGGUGAAAUCCCGGGGCUCAACCCCGGAAUUGCCUUCGAUACUGGCAAGCUAGAGUUCGGGAGAGGUGAGUGGAAUUCCUAGUGUAGAGGUGAAAUUCGUAGAUAUUAGGAAGAACACCGGUGGCGAAGGCGGCUCACUGGCCCGGCACUGACGCUGAGGGUCGAAAGCUUGGGGAGCAAACAGG
RNAcentral lists this ribosomal RNA (253 nucleotides) under uncultured bacterium. RNAcentral's name for it is "partial 16S ribosomal RNA". It matches the Rfam family "Bacterial small subunit ribosomal RNA", at positions 524 to 776 of the family's 1533-position model. The record is from RNAcentral.